Echinops telfairi (small Madagascar hedgehog) is the source of this 339-nucleotide long non-coding RNA. RefSeq lists it as uncharacterized. NCBI's taxonomy places the organism in Eukaryota, Metazoa, Chordata, Mammalia, Afrosoricida, Tenrecidae. The transcript is spliced from 3 exons. The record is from RefSeq and is a predicted model, not a curated record.
AGGGUUGUGCUUCCAGAUGUCACUGCUGCUCAGGAGACUGGACAGGCUGGGCGGCUCAUGGUCUCCUGGCGCGUGCCUAGGUUGAGCAUCUUAUGUUUGAAGAAAGGGUUUUGCUCUAUUUUGGUCAAACCAGCUCCUCUCCCUGUCUCUUCGGUUGCAAAGUAAAUUGAAAAAGAACCUUCUCAAACAAACCGAAUCAAGACCACAGUUUUAAAAGUUGCUCCUUAGUCUGAAGUACACUGAGGAAGCGCAGCCACCUUGCCUGGGGCAGGAGAAAUCUGGUUCCACUGUGAGGAAGAGGUGAUUCAUCACAGUCUCCAGCUUCCUGCUUCUCUUCAA